AGAUUAAACUGAAGAGUUUGAUCCUGGCUCAGAGUGAACGCUGGCGGCAGGCCUAACACAUGCAAGUCGAGCGGCAGCGCGGGGCAACCUGGCGGCGAGCGGCGGACGGGUGAGGAAUGCAUCGGAAUCUACCCUGUCGUGGGGGAUAACGUAGGGAAACUUACGCUAAUACCGCAUACGACCGAGAGGUGAAAGUGGGGGACCGCAAGGCCUCACGCGAUUGGAUGAGCCGAUGCCGGAUUAGCUAGUUGGUGGGGUAAAGGCCUACCAAGGCGACGAUCCGUAGCUGGUCUGAGAGGAUGAUCAGCCACACUGGGACUGAGACACGGCCCAGACUCCUACGGGAGGCAGCAGUGGGGAAUAUU
Molecule: ribosomal RNA, 365 nt
Filed under: Lysobacteraceae bacterium SCN 69-25
Lineage: Bacteria; Pseudomonadati; Pseudomonadota; Gammaproteobacteria; Lysobacterales; Lysobacteraceae
Description: bacterial SSU rRNA
Rfam family: Bacterial small subunit ribosomal RNA
Source: RNAcentral